UGGGGAAUCUUGCACAAUGGAGGAAACUCUGAUGCAGCGAUGCCGCGUGAGUGAAGAAGGCCUUUGGGUUGUAAAGCUCUUUCGUCGGGGAAGAAAAUGACUGUACCCGAAUAAGAAGGUCCGGCUAACUUCGUGCCAGCAGCCGCGGUAAUACGAAGGGACCUAGCGUAGUUCGGAAUUACUGGGCUUAAAGAGUUCGUAGGUGGUUGAAAAAGUUGGUGGUGAAAUCCCAGAGCUUAACUCUGGAACUGCCAUCAAAACUUUUCAGCUAGAGUAUGAUAGAGGAAAGCAGAAUUUCUAGUGUAGAGGUGAAAUUCGUAGAUAUUAGAAAGAAUACCAAUUGCGAAGGC
RNAcentral lists this ribosomal RNA (350 nucleotides) under uncultured bacterium. RNAcentral's name for it is "bacterial SSU rRNA". It matches the Rfam family "Bacterial small subunit ribosomal RNA", at positions 355 to 722 of the family's 1533-position model. The record is from RNAcentral.